UAAGGAAUAUUGGUCAAUGGACGCAAGUCUGAACCAGCCAUGCCGCGUGGAGGAUGAAGGUCCUCUGGAUUGUAAACUUCUUUUAUCUGGGAAGAAAUGUGGAUUUUCUAAUCUAUUUGACGGUACCAGAUGAAUAAGCACCGGCUAACUCCGUGCCAGCAGCCGCGGUAAUACGGAGGGUGCAAGCGUUAUCCGGAUUCACUGGGUUUAAAGGGUGCGUAGGCGGAUUUGUAAGUCCGUGGUGAAAUCUCCGAGCUUAACUCGGAAACUGCCAUGGAUACUAUAAGUCUUGAAUGUUGUGGAGGUUUGCGGAAUAUGUCAUGUAGCGGUGAAAUGCUUAGAUAUGACAUAGAACACCGAUUGCGAAGGCAGCAGGCUACACAAAUAUUGACGCUGAGGCACGAAAGCGUGGGGAUCAAACAGG
Molecule: ribosomal RNA, 424 nt
Filed under: uncultured bacterium
Lineage: Bacteria
Description: bacterial SSU rRNA
Rfam family: Bacterial small subunit ribosomal RNA
Source: RNAcentral